RNAcentral lists this ribosomal RNA (119 nucleotides) under Pteropus alecto (black flying fox). Lineage: Eukaryota; Metazoa; Chordata; Mammalia; Chiroptera; Pteropodidae. The record is from RNAcentral.
AUAUAUGGGCAUGCUACUCUAAACAAGCUCAAUCCUGGCUGAUCUCAGAAGCUAAGCAGGGUUGGGCCUGGUUAGUACUUGGAUGGGAGACCACCUAGGAAGACUAGGUGCUGUAGGUC